GACGAACGCUGGCGGCGUGCUUAACACAUGCAAGUCGAGCGAUGAAGCCUAGCUUGCUAGGUGGAUUAGUGGCGAACGGGUGAGUAAUACGUGAGUAACCUACCUUUAACUCUGGGAUAAGCCUGGGAAACUGGGUCUAAUACCGGAUACGACCAAUCUCCGCAUGGGGUGUUGGUGGAAAGCGUUAUGUAGUGGUUAUAGAUGGGCUCACGGCCUAUCAGCUUGUUGGUGAGGUAACGGCUCACCAAGGCGACGACGGGUAGCCGGCCUGAGAGGGUGACCGGCCACACUGGGACUGAGACACGGCCCAGACUCCUACGGGAGGCAGCAGUGGGGAAUAUUGCACAAUGGGCGCAAGCCUGAUGCAGCGACGCCGCGUGAGGGAUGACGGCCUUCGGGUUGUAAACCUCUGUUAGCAGGGAAGAAGAGAGAUUGACGGUACCUGCAGAGAAAGCGCCGGCUAACUACGUGCCAGCAGCCGCGGUAAUACGUAGGGCGCGAGCGUUGUCCGGAAUUAUUGGGCGUAAAGAGCUUGUAGGCGGUUUGUCGCGUCUGCUGUGAAAGGCCGGAGCUUAACUCCGUGUAUUGCAGUGGGUACGGGCAGACUAGAGUGCAGUAGGGGAGACUGGAAUUCCUGGUGUAGCGGUGGAAUGCGCAGAUAUCAGGAGGAACACCGAUGGCGAAGGCAGGUCUCUGGGCUGUAACUGACGCUGAGAAGCGAAAGCAUGGGGAGCGAACAGGAUUAGAUACCCUGGUAGUCCAUGCCGUAAACGUUGGGCACUAGGUGUGGGGGACAUUCCACGUUUUCCGCGCCGUAGCUAACGCAUUAAGUGCCCCGCCUGGGGAGUACGGCCGCAAGGCUAAAACUCAAAGAAAUUGACGGGGGCCCGCACAAGCGGCGGAGCAUGCGGAUUAAUUCGAUGCAACGCGAAGAACCUUACCAAGGCUUGACAUAUACUGGACCGCAUCAGAGAUGGUGUUUCCCUUCGGGGCUGGUAUACAGGUGGUGCAUGGUUGUCGUCAGCUCGUGUCGUGAGAUGUUGGGUUAAGUCCCGCAACGAGCGCAACCCUCGUUCUAUGUUGCCAGCACGUAAUGGUAGGACUCAUAGGAGACUGCCGGGGUCAACUCGGAGGAAGGUGGGGAUGACGUCAAAUCAUCAUGCCCCUUAUGUCUUGGGCUUCACGCAUGCUACAAUGGCCGGUACAGAGGGUUGCGAUACUGUGAGGUGGAGCUAAUCCCUAAAAGCCGGUCUCAGUUCGGAUUGGGGUCUGCAACUCGACCCCAUGAAGUCGGAGUCGCUAGUAAUCGCAGAUCAGCAACGCUGCGGUGAAUACGUUCCCGGGCCU
RNAcentral lists this ribosomal RNA (1347 nucleotides) under uncultured bacterium. RNAcentral's name for it is "bacterial SSU rRNA". It matches the Rfam family "Bacterial small subunit ribosomal RNA", at positions 28 to 1381 of the family's 1533-position model. The record is from RNAcentral.